GAAGGUGAGUAGUAUGGUGGUGGGGUUGAGCUGUAGACGUAAGGAGGUGGUGGAGAUUUGUAUUCAACCUUAGGGGAAGGUGAGUAGUAUGGUGGUGGUGGAGAAUUAUAAACGUAUGGAGGUGGUGGAGACUUGUAUGCGGGCUUUGGAGAAGGUGAAUAGUAUGGUGGUGGUGGAGAACUGUAGACGUAAGGAGGUGGUGGAGACUUAUAGUCUACCUUGGGAGAAGGUGAGUAGUAUGGCGGUGGUGGUGGAGAAUUGUAGACGUAUGGGGGUGGUGGUGGGGAGCUGUAAACAUAAGGGGGUGGUGGAGAUUUGUAGUCCACCUUUGGAGAAGGUGAGUAGUAUGGUGGUGGUGGUGGAGAGUUGUAGACGUAAGGAGGUGGUGGUGGGGAACUGUAGACAUAAGGAGGUGGUGGAGAUUUGUAGUCCACCUUUGGAGAAGGUGAAUAGUACGGUGGUGGUGGAGAACUGUAAACGUAUGGGGGUGGUGGAGACUUAUAGUCUACCUUAGGAGAUGGCGAAUAAUAAGGUGGAGGUGGUGGAGAACUGUAUACAUAAGGAGG
Molecule: long non-coding RNA, 566 nt
Filed under: Eutrema salsugineum
Lineage: Eukaryota; Viridiplantae; Streptophyta; Magnoliopsida; Brassicales; Brassicaceae
Description: long non-coding RNA (ESAL_LNC000599)
Source: RNAcentral